This 99-nucleotide transfer RNA is filed under the name Delitschia confertaspora ATCC 74209. It matches the Rfam family "tRNA". From Rfam's summary of the family: Transfer RNA (tRNA) molecules are approximately 80 nucleotides in length. The record is from Rfam by way of RNAcentral. Lineage: Eukaryota; Fungi; Ascomycota; Dothideomycetes; Pleosporales; Delitschiaceae.
AGUCCUAUGGUCUAGUGGUAUGACGUUCGCUUCACAUUAAGUGCAGUUCAAGCUUUUCUAAAGCGCGAAAGGUCCUGGGUUCGAUCCCCAGUGGGACUA